UCUGUCGUCAGUUGCAACACUCACUACUAAGUUCUAAACUGCCUGUGGAAGCAACGUCAACGUCAACUCUUCGUCGGGAGCUUCAUGUAAUGGGUUUCCAUGGCUGAGCAGCCGCACACAAGCCUAAGAUCACCAUGCGCACUGCCAAGGGUUGGCUGGAGUGGUGUAAAGCUCGCCGCUAUUGGAGUCUGGAGCAGUGGAAACGCUUCUCUUGAGUGAGGAAUCACACUUAAAAAUCUGACAGCCCUUCGGAUGAAUCUGGGUUUGGCGGAUGCCAGGAGAACGCUACCUGCUCAAAUUCAUAGUGCCAACUAUAAAGUUUAGUGCAGGAGGAAUAAUGGUCUGUGGCUGUUUUUCAUGGCUAGGCCCCUUAGUUCCAGUGAAGGGAAAUCUUAACUCUACAGCAUUCAAUGACAUUGUAGACGAUUCUGUGCUUCCAACUUUGUGGCAACAGUUUGGGAAGGCCCUUUCCUGUUUCAGCAUGACAGUGCCCCCGUGCACAAAGCGAGGUCCAUACUGAAAUGGUUUGUCGAAAUCGGUGUGGAAGAACUUGACUGGCCUGCACAGAGCCCAUGAUCUCAACCCCAUCAAACACCUUUGGGAUGAAUUGUAACGCAGACUGCAAGCCAGGCCUAACGCUUCGAACACACCGACUGCGUCAUUGCAUCACUGCUACGUAACAUUUUGCGCAGCUAGGCAACUAUACUGAUGCAGGUACCUUUUGCAGAUGGUCGCAUGCGGUUGUACACAUGGAAGAGAAUCAUUUUCACAGUAUCCUCAAAACCGUGUCUUUUUGACACAACUGCUGACAGCUACAGGGACAUAAACACAAAAUAUGCUGCUUGGAGACAAGUGUCCACGAUAGUAGGAUUGCCAGGUCAGCUUAGUAGUGAGCAUGUGCUAGAUGUGGCUAGUUAGCUAGCUAGCUAACCUAGCUUGCUAACCUAGCCAAUGAGGUGUGUGUGUGUGUGUGUGUGUGUGUGUGUGUGUGUGUGUGUGUGUGUGUGUGUGUGUGUGUGUGUGUGUGUGUGUGUGUGUGUGAAAGAAAGAAAGAAAUAGUCAAAUAAAUUAUGCUAGUUACUACCCCUGAUAACUUGAUCAAAUAAUCAUGUUUGAAAGAGUGUGAGUAUGUAUGUCAUAAAUAGUCAUAGAAAUGGAAGAUACUACUGUACCCCUGAUAAUUUGGUCAGAUAACCGUGUGUGUGUCUAUGUGUACAGUAGGUGACAUGUCCAUGAUAGCUAUCUAAUAACUAUAGGUAUGCUAGGUAAUGGUUUGGCUUAUCAUGUCUAUGUAGAAGAAGACUGUAGGAGGAAGUGGAGAGGACUCAGGGACAGGUAUCAGAGAGAGAGAAGGGCAGAGAAAGAGAAGAAGAGGUCUGGGUCAGCAGCUUCAGGCCAGCAGCCUUGGCGCUUCUGCCACAUUCUUUCUUUUCUGGAUCCAUUUAUUGUGCCUAGGGCAACGAGUGGCAAUUUUACAGCCAGACCCUCUACUACGUCAUCCACAAGUGUUGUCGCCACCGGUGCAUCAAGACCCUCAAUGUCACCUACAAGUGCGACCAUCGCCUCCACCGGUGCAGCGAGACCCUCUACAAUGUCUACAUCAUCCACAAGUAUGACCACCAUCGGUGCAGCCAUGGAAGACGAUGAAAUGGAGGAAGCACCUCUGGAUCUAGGACCACCUGAGAUUAUUAUGAACCUCACGGAAGUGACCACUGAGGACCUCGUUGAACAGGAUGUGGCCGUGGAGACAGAGAGAGAAACGAAGAGGAACAACGUCACACCAGGCGUCAUCGAAGGUUCCAGCCCCCAGAUCCACUCAACUCAUUUCAGCAGAGGCUCCUCCAAGCCGUCGAGAGGGAUGCAGCCCAAGCUGAUGCUCACAGGAAGGAGGAUGAAGAGACCCUCUUUGCCAUGAGCCUGGUGCCAACCCUGAAGAGGCUGCCUCAGCAAAGAAAAGCAGCAGUCAAAGUUAAAAUGUAUCAGCUGCUUUUCGAAGCCGAGUUCAAUGAGAUGGAGUCCAUUUAGCCGACCAGCUCACAGGAAGGACAGGAAGAGGAGAGGAGUUGUCUGGUUGUUGUUUUUGACCUCCCUCAUUGUACCUUUCUUUUCACACACGUCCGUUCCGUUUAAAUUCAGUCAAUUCAUAAAGUCAUUUGUUUAUAAAGUCUCGGGAUAGCAUUCAUUAUUAGUGUUACAUAGAUUUCUGAAUUGACAGAAUUGAAACUCUGUUAUAGGAAUUUUAUACCUUGAUGAUAAUAAUCAAUAAUCAAUUCGCCUUGACUAAUGCCCAAGGUUUGUAAGACAAUGGGUUAAAAUAAUUAAGCAAGGACUCAGCUUUCUGCAAAAGGUUUCUGUAGCUUUAUUCAGAGAACGUUCUGCCGUCAGGAUAACAAAACAGUCAUUAUAUAGUUCUUGCUUACUUACGCACAUGCAUUUACACACAAUCUGUUGGUGACCUGCAACCCCCAUAAACUUCUCACACUGUUUGUCACCUUCUGGCUCUUAUCAAACUCAUACACCGAAUAAUUCACAGAUGCUCUUUUUUAAAUGUUUACACGCACACACACCUCUUUCAAUAGUUGUAUUUUUUUUAAACAUUUUUUACAACACACAUACCUGUCAUGUUCUUUCCUGUACUUGAAUACUUAUUAAAUUAUGUUUUCAUAGUCA
This is a non-coding RNA of Salmo salar (Atlantic salmon), 2670 nucleotides long. NCBI's taxonomy places the organism in Eukaryota, Metazoa, Chordata, Actinopteri, Salmoniformes, Salmonidae. The record is from RefSeq and is a predicted model, not a curated record.